RNAcentral lists this long non-coding RNA (3601 nucleotides) under Homo sapiens (human). RNAcentral's name for it is "HSALNT0333230". Lineage: Eukaryota; Metazoa; Chordata; Mammalia; Primates; Hominidae. The record is from RNAcentral.
AGCAGUUGUGGAAAACUGCUUUAAAUGUCAUAGAGCACUCAGAAGGAAUUCAUAAAUGACCUCAUAAAGAAGUCCACUGUGGUUUCCCUGCAGAGGUGGGAAUAGAAUCAGAGUGCUAAGGAUUGAGGGAUUAAGAGGAGGUGAUUGUAUUAUUCCUCUUUUCAGAUAAUGGAGAGAGAGAAGAGAACAGCAGUAGCCGUUGCCAGAAAUAUUGAGCAAGGCGGAUUUAUUAGAUGAAGAUAUCAAAAUACUUUCCAUUGAGGAAACAGGUUGGAGGUGGGAGGCUGUAACCAUGCUUGAUUUUGUACCACCCUAACCUUUGCUUGAUCCAGGUUCCAGUCCAAUAUGCACCAUUCAGCCUGGUUGCAGCAUGUUAAGCAGCCCUGGAGGCAGCAGAUGAGGGAUCCUAUGAAGCAACUUUCAGACAUUCAGAACCAAGACAAAAAAAAAGAGAAUUAAAGUAAAAUAUGAUGUACCCAGGAGUUACAUCAGUGAACCAAAUACAGCCUCAAAUUUCGAUCUGUGCUUCACAGCAGCCAGCAAAAAGAACAAAACAUAUUUUGUUAGUUCAUAUAAAUAAAUAAAUUAAAAAUGCAUGAAUAAAUAAAUAAAGCAAACCAGUUUCUCGAUUCUGAAAUAUUUUCUGGAAGUGAGAACUGAAAGGAAUUUCCACCAUGGACCCACAAGCAGUUGUUGGUGGCAUAUAUAAUGAGUGCUGGGUGUUAAGGAAGCAAUGGUGAAGGAGAGACACCCUCCCGACCCUCAUGGUGCUUGCAGCCUAGUGGAGCUAUGAAAAGAUAGGCAAGUGAGUCCUAUGAUUGGAGAAGUAAUGAGAAGUAAUGAGAAGCGUCUUCUAAGCAUAGGGGUAAAGACUGCAAAGACCCUGAAGGGAGAAAGUAAUGGCCAUUCUGAGAACUGAAAGUUUGCACAGUGCACAGAGGGCAUGAAGAACGAAGGAAAGAGAUUUUUUUUUUUUUUUUUUUGCCCAAGAUGGCAAGUUGCUUAAAACCUAAAGCUCCUUUCAAUUCUUUACAAUCCAAGAUUAUAUGGAAUGGACUGGGAACAAAGAGAGGGACUGGCAUUUAAAGUCUUUUAUACACUUUGGAACAAAUGUUAUUCUCCAUUCAUCCUGACACUAAAUUGGUUAGCCAAACCCAAAGAUCUACUAAUAAUCCUGCUUUGGCAUGGGAGAAUGAGUGAGAUAAGGAGGCAAUAGAGGAGAUGAAUCGACAAAUGGAAGGAAUAGAAUUCUGGUUGAUGUCCUUGUCUCUAAGCUGUAGCAGCAAGUAUUUAUCCUAAUCAUGUGGUGUUAGCACGGAGAUGAGAAAGAGAGAAAGACAACAUCAUGCUUUGCUGUCUGUGUGUGAACUGAGUAACAGCUGUGAAGGAUCAGUCACCAAAAGACUUUGAAAGAAGAGGCUUGAUUGGUCACGGUAAUGAUGCUCCCCUGGCCAUGGAAGUUUAAUUGGGAGAAAAGAACAUCUGCUUAUACGAAAACAUAUUAUAUUCAGCCAUCCCUGCCCUGACUUUGGCCUUUAAAAACAGUGGCAUUAAUUAUCUCAACAAAUGAAUCUUCGGGAUAAAAAUAAUCUAAAUAUUAUUUUACGCUUACUACAUAUUUGCAACGUGCUAAGCUCUUUAUGGUUGCUACCACAAAAAACAUUUAUAAUAUGAGGUUGUUUCCGUAUUUUGGCUAUUGUGAAUAGUGCUGCAAUAAACAUGGAAGUGCUGAUAUAUCUUUGAGAUCUUGACUUCAAACAAAAGAAGAAAAUCUUGCAAUAUAUGACAACACGGAUUAACCUGGAGGACAUUGUGCUUAGUGAAGUUAGCCAGUCACAGACUGACAAGUACUGCACGAUUCCACUUAUGAAGACUACAGUUCCUAUCUUCACAGGUGGCUGUUAGCUCUAAAUGAACUCAUUUAUUUUGAAAGCAUGAUUUAAAGUAUAGUUUUAAACUAUAAGCAUUUCAGAAGUGAUGACCCAUGACUCAAAUCUCAAAAAUAAAUGCUACAGUUCACAGUUGGAAUAUGGACACAAGAAAAAUAAUAGAUGAUGCCACUGAAAGGUAAACAUACCAUUCUGACAUGCAUGAAAAUGAAACGACAAAUUGAUACACGCAGUGCUUGGAAUGGAUGGAGUCCUUCUAAUGAGUGAUUACCUGUGGUAUAACUAUAUUGAUUGUGUUUGUACAUGUCAAAUGGGGCUGGCGAGGAUGAACUUGAAGAAAUCAAUCUUGGAACCUGCUAGGACAGCAGCCUCCUGGUUUCACAGUACUAAAUCAUGACUUCAAAAUUUUGAAGUAAAAGAAAACUGCAAAACUUUGUAAAGGUACCAGUCUCUUCCUGACACUAUUUGCCUUGGCAAAAGAUUCACUGUCAACUUAAAAGACUAACAUGUGCUCAGAUGAUGAUUUGUGGAGGACAGAUAAUUAUGAGUACAUUUAGAAAUACACACUCUUCCAAACCCUGCUCUUUCCAUAUAAUGAAGUUAUUUAUUUCUAUUUUUUAUUUAUUUUUCUAAUAAUUACAAACAUACUUUGGAGACCCACAUUCCUGUAUUAUUCUUUCAACAUACUGAAGAAGAGUUAUUUCUAUGCUUCUUUCUAUGUGUUGGGCUUAAGAUUUAUUAGAAGGAAUGUGUAAAAACAAAGGCAGCAAAGUUUCUAUUUUUAUUGGGAGUCACUCCCGGAGUAAGUGGGGAUAGUUGUGCACACACACACACACACAUUCAUGCACAAAGAAAGAGUGAUCAAGUGUAUAACACACUUUUAGCAGUGUUUUGCUGGAAGAAUAAAGUAUAACUCCUUGUCCGCCCUUUUAUUAUACUGGGGUUCACACUAAGAGAGUCUGAGGACCUGUGGAACUCCCAUUUGCAUGAAAUAACUUUUGCAUCUAUUCUGGAGGAAAACUUCCUAAGGCAGAUUUGGACAGAAAAUUGCUAUCAGCGCAAAUAAAACAAUGCAAAGCCUACUCCGGGGAACGUUGCUCUGCCACCACUACUGAAAUGGGUCAUCCCCUUGGUUUCUGAAUAAAGAAUUAUGAAACCUGGGGCUAGAAUGCUCAGGGAGGAAUUUACCAAUCCAAAUCUUCCCCUUAUGGUAGAGAACAAACUUUCAAGGUUUGUUCUCCACUGUAAGUGUGCGAGGGCUGUUAGGGACCGUAAUAUGGCUGCCGGAGACUGGUGUGUGUACCUCCUUGACUGUACGUCUCAUUUCCAGUUAUGAUUUUACAAUCAUCUCUUUCUCAACCUUUGCUUUUAAAUAUAGGAAGGUACGGCUCACCAUGGAGCGGACAUUUUCUUCAGGAGCGGUACGGUGUCUAAGAUAUGCAGAGGUUGUAUUCUAGUCCUAUAACUCAAUUCUCAAACACAUGGCUUUUAGCCAGGGAUAUCCUAAAGGAAAAUUACACUAUAUGCAACCCCUCCUUACUCCUCAAAUAUUAUCUAUAUUAAACACAGCUGAAAUUUGAGAGUGUCCUUACAGGUGAAAAUUUAACAAUUUAACAAAAGGACACUGCUGAAUGUGUGGGGACAAAGGAAGGAUGAAUCUUUCAUCAUGACAAAAGACUACUUGCCACAUUCUCCCUUAACUUAGAAAAACA